This is a long non-coding RNA of Limanda limanda (common dab), 1346 nucleotides long. RefSeq lists it as uncharacterized. Lineage: Eukaryota; Metazoa; Chordata; Actinopteri; Pleuronectiformes; Pleuronectidae. The transcript has 2 exons. The record is from RefSeq and is a predicted model, not a curated record.
CCAAUGAUACCUGUAGAGAGAAAAGCUCACGGAUUUCGGUAGGAAAUAGCAUUAAACCACUCGAAAACAUUACCAUAGUCUAAAUGUAAUCAUACUAAUAAGGUUAUUUCCCAACUAGACGUCGAACUUGAGCGUGACAACUGAAGGGAUUCAAUAGUUAUCUGCUACUGAAAACUCCGGUGAGUGAGCACACUUAGUCACUGCUAGUCAUUAGUAGCAUCAUGCUAGCGAACUAUUAGCAUUAUGCUAGCGAACCUGGGAAAGAACCAUAGACUGUAUAUAUAAAUGGACGAAGCGUCCGUGACGUCACCCAUUGGUUUCUGCAGAGGGUGAAUGAGGCUAGUAGGAGGCGUUCCUCCUGCGCCAUCUUGCCGGUGCUGACUCCUCCUCGUUCCUCGCUAACCAAUCAAUGGGCAAGGACGAGCAGCGUGACUGCUGACUCACAGCUUAGCGACGGCAGACGAGCUCUAGUUUCCUGGUUAGCUCAGGCUACGGCUAACUGGCUACUCGCGACAUGCUAACGGCGGAGCUAACGGCUAGCCGAGACAUGCUAACCGGCGGAGCUAACGGCUAGCACUGUGCUGUGACCGGAUGGUGGCAAACUUUACCAUGAACGAGCAGGUACAAACCCAGCACUGCAGCCCCUGAUGUCCUCAGCAUUCACUGUGGCAGCAGCAACAUGGUGGAGAUCUGCAGCCUCAGGCUGGUCAACACGAGGACAACUGCACCAGCUUCAUGUUUCCUUACCUUAACUAAAGAUGGCCUGCACCUGUUUAGAGUUGGCUCAUUGCUAAGUGUCAUGGAUAAUGGAGUUCAUAUCUAUAUUCAUUAUGGUUGGAUAAAAAAAUGAACACUUAUUAGAACAAUGUUUAUCUUUUUCUUUCUGAUUUGAUACACUUUAGAUAAGAACCCAGUGUUUUAUUUUUCUUCUCUGCCAUUAGAGACAGAACACGGUCAGCACAGCUGUGUCCUUCAAGCUCGUCCGUCCCUAAUAAAAUGAUAGGAAACAAAAAAGUAUGGCAUUAUUGUCGAGGAAGUGAUACUUAUGAACAAAGUUUGUGUCCUUAUUUUCUAUGGAUAUUCAACUAUGUAUUUGAAUAUGCUUUUGGAUUAAACUGUGCACUACCAAGAAAAUGAAUGUACAGUAUGGAGCUCAUUCACAUUAAAAGUAUUGCAUAUAUUAUUUAAUACAUUAUGUAUUAUGUGCAAUACUUUGCUUUGACUGUAAGUAAUGAAAACACUAGACGAACAUUCAACACAAAUACAGAUAUGUUAAGUCAUACAUGUGCCAGGUUAACUCCUGAACAACUUUUACAUGGUAAAAAUAAAAAGUUUAUUACUUCAAA